UUAAGCUUUCCAUUCUGAAGUAUGUUUACCAACCUGUUCAAGACUUCAUAGUCUAACUCUUCACUCAAAAAGUACUUCAAUUAGACUUGUUUCUUAUCCCUUUUGUCCAGGACAGUGGUACAAAUUAUGGAUAGAACAGUGUUGUUCAAAGGCCUAAAAUGACCUAUCAAUUUGCAAAGUGUUUAUUCUGCAUUAAAGAUGUAUGUUAAACCUGGCUUUCACCACUAUCUAUAAUUAAUCUUAGUAUCAUAUUGAGGGAAUUUUGCAGAUGCCUCUUUGAAAUAAUCCAUAUUUUUAAGAUCUAAGUGGUACAACUUUUGACAGACAUUCUUUCACAAUUUUAUUUUAAGCUGUUUUCACUUAAACUGUUUUCUCAGUAUAGAUACUUUCAGGGAGAAUUGCAUAUUAUCUUUUGCUGAAAACAUUUACAACUUUGUCUUAUAUUUUUACAUAAUUCCUUCACUAGUUUUAGAUAGUUUUCUAAUGGAAUACUGUAUACAUUUUCAUAAGAUCAAAAUAUAACUAAUUAAUGAGAGAAUCAGCAGGAUUACAAAACUAGUUCAAAACAGGACAUGAAAAUAGAAAUUUUAUAUAAAGAUCAAAAAGGAAUGCUGUAAUAACGUUGGUACGUUAGAUACUGUACUGGCCAAUACCAUACAGAGUAAUAAAAUUAAACGUUGGGUUAUCUCUUCAACCUAACAAAAAUAUAAAUUAUCUCAUUUGAUCUUUUUUCAAAAAAUAGGAACGCUAAUUUUAAGAGGUGUAAAAUGUCUGGGCAUAUUCCUAAUGAGUAGAAAACAAAGUAAAGGUAACAAAGUCACAUUUCACUAGUGAGUGAGAGGACAUUUAUUGGGCUUAUGCUCUAGCAUGACAUUAACAAAUCACUAAAUUGCCUUUUUUCCUUAUUUACAGUUGUGAAUAUUUUUUAUUAAUAGUAAUGUCAUCUAUUUUUGAAAUUAGAAGGAUUCUUCCAAACAUAUGCGCAAAAUACUAGAAGUAAUUUUUUUUUUUUUUGUGGUACGCGGGCCUCUCAUUGUUGUGGCCUCUCCCGUUGCGGAGCACAGGCUCCGGGCGCGCGGGCUUAGAGGCCAUGGCUCACGGACCCAGCCGCUCCGCGGCAUGUGGGAUCUUCCCGGACCGGGGCAUGAACCCGUGUCCCCUGCAUCAGCAGACGGACUUGCAACCACUGCACCACCAGGGAAGCCCUAGAAGUAAUUUUUAGUAUAUUUUAUGGCCCUAACGUUGUCAUUAUUAACUAUUCAUUCACAUUAAUUAUAAUGAUUAGCAGGUGAUAAUUGAACCAAAUUCUUCCUCACAUAGCAUACUAUGACAGUUACACAGAAGACUAUUUAUUUAUUCAUUUAUUUAUUCACUUAUUUAUAACAUCUUUAUUGGAGUAUAAUGCUUUACAAUGGUGUGUUAGCUUCUGCUGUAUGACAAAGUGAAUCAGCUAUAUGUAUAUAUAUAUCCCCAUAUACCCUGCGUCUUGUGUCUCCUUCCCACCCUCCCUAUCCCACUCUUCUGGGUGGUCACAAAGCACUGAGCUGGUCUCCCUGUGCAUGCAGCUGCUUCCCACUAGCUAUCUGUGUUACAUUUGGUAAUGUAUAUAUGUCAAUGCUGCUCUCUCACUUCGUCCCAGCUUACCCUUCCCCCUCCCCUUGUCCUCAAAGUCCAUUCUCUACAUCUGCAUCUUUAUUCCUGUCCUGCCCCUAGGUUCUUCAGAACCUUUUUUUUUUUUUUAAGAUUCCAUAUAUAUGUGUUAGCAUACAGUAUUUGUUUUUCUCUUUUUGACUUACUUCACUCUGUAUGACAGACUCUAGAUCCAUCCACCUCACUACAAAUAACUCAAUUUCGUUUCUUUUUAUGGCUGAGUAAUAUUCCAUUGUAUGUAUGUGCCACAUCUUCUUUAUCCAUUCAUCUGUCGAUGGACACUUAGGUUGCUUCCAUGUCCUGGCUAUUGUAAAUAGAGCUGCAAUGAACAUUUUGGUACAUGACUCUUUGAAUUAUGGUUUUCUCAGGGUAUAUGCCCAGGAGUGGGAUUGCUGGGUCAUAUGGUAGUUCUAUUUGUAGUUUUUUAAGGAACAUCCAUACUGUUCUCCAUAGUGGCUGUAUCAAUUUACAUUCCCACCAACAGUGCAAGAGGCUUCCCUUCUCUCCACACCCUCUCCAGCAUUUAUUGUUUGUAGAGUUUUUGAUGAUGGCCAUUCUGACUGGUGUAAGGUGAUAACCUCAUUGGACUUCUUAUUGGCAUUUCUCUAGUGAUUAGUGAAGUUGAGCAUCCUUUCAUGUGUUUGUUGGCAAUCUGUAUAUCUUCUUUGGAGAAAUGUCUAUUUAGGUCUUCUGCCCAGUUUUGGAUUCAGUUGUUUGUUUUUUUGAUAUUGAGCUGCAUGACAUGAGCUGCUUGUAUAUUUUGGAGAUUAAUCCUUUGUCAGUUGCUUCAUUUGUAAAUAUUUUCUCCCAUUCUGAGGGUUGUCUUUUGGUCUUGUUUAUGGUUUCCUUUGCUAUGCAAAAGCUUCUAAGUUUCAUUAGGUCCCAUUUGUUUAUUUUUAUUUCCAUUUCUCUAGGAGGUGGUUCAAAAGGGAUCUUGCUGUGAUUUAUGUCAUAGAGUGUUCUUCCUAUGUUUUCCUCUAAGAGUGUCUGGCCUUUCAUUUAGGUCUUUAAUCUAUCUCACUUUGAAUGUAACUCCCUAAAGUAAGAGAGAACAUUUUUUAUUUGCACAUACUCAUAUGAACUACAUAAUGGUUAUAGCCCUAAAAUGAGAAAAAAAAAGAAAAAGAUUCAUGAACAAGUGUAUUCUCAUCAUUAUGCUUCAAGGAAUUAUUCCACAAAUACAUAGAUUUUUAAAAAUAAUAUGGAAUAAUAGGAUACUUAAGCAUGACUUCAAGUUACUACAGUGUAUCUGGACAAAACUCUAACUCGAAAAGAUACAUGCACCCCAGUGUUCAUCGCAACCCUGUUUACAAUAGCCAAGACAAGGAAGCAACCUAAAUGUCCAUCAGCAGAUGAAUAGAUAAAGAAGAUGUAGUGUGUGUAUAUAUAUAUGUUACUAAGCCAUAAAAAAGAAUGAAAUAAUGCCAUUUGCAGCUACAUGGAUGCACCUAGAGAUUAUCAUACUAAGUGAAGUAAGUCAGACAGAAAGGCAAAUAUCAUAUGAUAUCACAUAUAUGUGGAAUCUAAAAAAGAAACGAUACAAAUGAACUUAUUUACAAAACAGAAAUAGACUCACAAACAUAGAAAAUAAACUUAUGUUUACCAAAGGAGAAAGGGGAGGAGGGAUAAAUUUGGAAUUUGUUAUUAACAUAUACACACUACUAUAUAUAAAAUAGAUAUACAAGGACCUACCGUAAAACACAGGGAAUUAUAUUUAAUAUCUUGUAAUAACCUGUAAUGGAAAAUAAUCUGAUAUAUCUAUGUACAUAUGUAUUAUAUAUAUGACUGAAUAAUUUUGCUGUACACCUGAAACAUUGUAAAUCAAUUGUACUUCCAUAAAGCAAUACAAAAAUUUUUUAAAAGUUACUACAAUGAAGGAAAACAAAAUAUAAUAGAAACUUUUGAAAAUAUG
Long non-coding RNA from Orcinus orca (killer whale), 3562 nucleotides. RefSeq lists it as uncharacterized. The transcript has 3 exons. NCBI's taxonomy places the organism in Eukaryota, Metazoa, Chordata, Mammalia, Artiodactyla, Delphinidae. The record is from RefSeq and is a predicted model, not a curated record.